RNAcentral lists this long non-coding RNA (214 nucleotides) under Lathyrus oleraceus (garden pea). RNAcentral's name for it is "Pisum sativum (pea) long non-coding RNA (PSAT_LNC024276)". Lineage: Eukaryota; Viridiplantae; Streptophyta; Magnoliopsida; Fabales; Fabaceae. The record is from RNAcentral.
AAAGUUUAAAAAUGGUUGUUGUCCUUGUAGCAGAGAUUGGUGAUGGGUUAAUAAAAGUCAGAUGAGGGUGACUUGAGAGAUGCAUUGAGAGAGUGAAGUUAUGGGGCUCAAGAGAGAAAGUAUGUCAAUCCAAUAGCAGGAAGAUUAAGUACACCAGUAAGAAAAUCAUGAUGGUAUCAUGUGUUAUUAGCUUUUAUUUCAUUUCCAAUUUUUU